UUCUGAAAGUAGAAUGAAGUUAUAAAGUAAAAUAAUGAUUUUGCUAAUAUUUCAAAUGUUGCAUACAAUAGAUACCUCAUUUGUGUUAUUUAUUUUUAGGAACCAUUUCAUUGAAAUGUUAUUCAAUUUUUGUCUACUCUUGGUUGAAACUGUUUUCAAUGCAGGCUUACUUUAAAUCUCAAACUUUAGUUACACAAAUGAUUAAUAAUUCAGAUUUACCUUAAUUGAAAAAAUUUUGACAUACAAAAAUAUUUAAUUUUGCAAGCAACAAAACAGUAUUUUUCUUCUUUUUUAGUUUGAAUCAUCAAAAAGAUUUUUUUACAAAAUCAAUGAAAUUUACUUAAGAAACAAGGGUGUACUUAAUAAUCAUGUCUGCAUUAGUUUGAUAUAAAGAUGUUCACACUUUCAUGACAUUCCUUUAAAUUAUGACCUUUUUAUAUGUAUAUAAUUUCCUUUCUACAAUUUUAUAGUUGUUAAACAUAUCAAACAAGAUUUUUUUACAAAUUAUAUAUAUCUACAUUUGUACAUAUCAUGUAUAUCAUUUCAUAACGAGGAAAGAUCUAUGUUUUGCUGAUUAAUACAUAUUAGGUCUGAAUCUGUCUAGUUUUAUUAUAUAGAUUGGGCAAAGGAUUCAUGUGGUAAUUUUCUUGUAUCCCUGUUUCCAAAUAUUACAUUAACUAUUAAAAGUAGAUUGAAACUAAAAUUCAUUUUAGCCUAUAUAUAUUUAACUUUGUUUGGUAUGACUUUACAUGUUACAAAAUCAUUCUUUUACUGAAAAGAUAACUGUCCAUAGUAAUUACACUAAACAAGAAACUUAAAAAGAUGUUACAAAGCACAAUUUAAUUGAUAAAGUAUUUUAUUUUUUUACUUGAGACAGAAAUUGUUGUAUUUUUUAAACAGAAAUAUUUUUAAGAUAGUUUCCGUAUUUUUAUUAUCAUCAACAUGUGAUUUGUUGGUGAUAUUUUAUUGUUAUUGAUAUUGUUGAAAUCCAUGAAUCGAUUGUUUGUACAGUUAUCUCAUUCAAAAUAAAUAGAUACAAACAUUUAUAA
RNAcentral lists this long non-coding RNA (1049 nucleotides) under Mytilus galloprovincialis (Mediterranean mussel). Lineage: Eukaryota; Metazoa; Mollusca; Bivalvia; Mytilida; Mytilidae. The record is from RNAcentral.